This 353-nucleotide ribosomal RNA is filed under the name uncultured bacterium. RNAcentral's name for it is "bacterial SSU rRNA". It matches the Rfam family "Bacterial small subunit ribosomal RNA", at positions 29 to 381 of the family's 1533-position model. The record is from RNAcentral.
AUUGAACGCUGGCGGCAUGCCUUACACAUGCAAGUCGAACGGCAGCACGGGAGCAAUCCUGGUGGCGAGUGGCGAACGGGUGAGUAAUAUAUCGGAACGUGCCCAGUCGUGGGGGAUAACGCAGCGAAAGCUGUGCUAAUACCGCAUACGAUCUCUGGAUGAAAGCGGGGGACUCGCAAGGGCCUCGCGCGAUUGGAGCGGCCGAUAUCAGAUUAGCUAGUUGGCGGGGUAAAGGCCCACCAAGGCGACGAUCUGUAGCUGGUCUGAGAGGACGACCAGCCACACUGGAACUGAGACACGGUCCAGACUCCUACGGGAGGCAGCAGUGGGGAAUCUUGCGCAAUGGGCGAAAG